RNAcentral lists this ribosomal RNA (976 nucleotides) under plant metagenome. RNAcentral's name for it is "bacterial LSU rRNA". It matches the Rfam family "Bacterial large subunit ribosomal RNA", at positions 1954 to 2925 of the family's 2925-position model. The record is from RNAcentral.
AGGUAGCGAAAUUCCUUGUCGGGUAAGUUCCGACCUGCACGAAUGGCGUAACGAUGGCCACACUGUCUCCUCCCGAGACUCAGCGAAGUUGAAAUGUUUGUGAUGAUGCAAUCUACCCGCGGCUAGACGGAAAGACCCCAUGAACCUUUACUGUAGCUUUGCAUUGGACUUUGAAUCAAUCUGUGUAGGAUAGGUGGGAGGCUUUGAAGCGGGGACGCCAGUUCUCGUGGAGCCAACCUUGAAAUACCACCCUGGUUCAUUUGAGGUUCUAACCUUGGCCCGUUAUCCGGGUCGGGGACAGUGCAUGGUAGGCAGUUUGACUGGGGCGGUCUCCUCCUAAAGUGUAACGGAGGAGUUCGAAGGUACGCUAGGUACGGUCGGACAUCGUGCUAAUAGUGCAAUGGCAUAAGCGUGCUUAACUGCGAGACCGACAAGUCGAGCAGGUACGAAAGUAGGACAUAGUGAUCCGGUGGUUCUGUAUGGAAGGGCCAUCGCUCAACGGAUAAAAGGUACUCUGGGGAUAACAGGCUGAUACCGCCCAAGAGUUCAUAUCGACGGCGGUGUUUGGCACCUCGAUGUCGGCUCAUCACAUCCUGGGGCUGUAGCCGGUCCCAAGGGUAUGGCUGUUCGCCAUUUAAAGUGGUACGUGAGCUGGGUUUAAAACGUCGUGAGACAGUUUGGUCCCUAUCUGCCGUGGGCGUUGGAUAUUUGAAGGGGGCUGCUCCUAGUACGAGAGGACCGGAGUGGACGAACCUCUGGUGUACCGGUUGUCACGCCAGUGGCAUUGCCGGGUAGCUAAGUUCGGAAGAGAUAACCGCUGAAAGCAUCUAAGCGGGAAACUCGCCUUGAGAUGAGAUUUCCCGGAGCCUUGAGCUCCUUGAAGGGUCGUUCGAGACCAGGACGUUGAUAGGCUGGGUGUGGAAGUGCAGUAAUGCAUUAAGCUAACCAGUACUAAUUGCCCGUACGGCUUGUCCCU